AUACGUAGGGUGCGAGCGUUAAUCGGAAUUACUGGGCGUAAAGCGUGCGCAGGCGGUUUUGUAAGACAGUGGUGAAAUCCCCGGGCUCAACCUGGGAACUGCCAUUGUGACUGCAAGGCUGGAGUGCGGCAGAGGGGGAUGGAAUUCCGCGGGUAGUAGGGAAAUGCGUAGAUAUGCGGAGGAACACCGAUGGCGAAGGCAAUCCCCUGGGCCUGCACUGACGCUCAUGCACGAAAGCGUGGGGAGCAAACAGGAUUAGAUACCCUGGUAGUCCACGCCCUAAACGAUGUCAACUGGUUGUUGGGAAUUUAUUUUCUCAGUAACGAAGCUAACGCGUGAAGUUGACCGCCUGGGGAGUACGGCCGCAAGGUUAAAACUCAAAUGAAUUGACGGGG
RNAcentral lists this ribosomal RNA (395 nucleotides) under uncultured bacterium. RNAcentral describes it as "partial 16S ribosomal RNA". It matches the Rfam family "Bacterial small subunit ribosomal RNA", at positions 523 to 918 of the family's 1533-position model. The record is from RNAcentral.